RNAcentral lists this long non-coding RNA (936 nucleotides) under Anolis carolinensis (green anole). RNAcentral describes it as "lncRNA (ENSACAG00000036297.1)". The record is from RNAcentral. Lineage: Eukaryota; Metazoa; Chordata; Lepidosauria; Squamata; Anolidae.
AUGUCUAGUGGUGCCAAUGAAACAGAGAACUUCACUGUAUCUUCAGUCUCAGAGUUGCAAAAUGAGCGAACUGAAGUGGCUGCAUCGGAAACUCCAACGGUCGGUAACUUCAAAGAUGACAACCAGGUCAUGAUACUGGAGACACCCAUCCAUGUUUCCCAAGACACCCCUCAGGAUGUUGAAGAAGUUGCAGUCAAUAUAGCUGGGAUGAUCUUAUCAAAGGCGCUGUUUGAGGCUGCUGGUAAAGGCCAGAGUGUUUCCAGAGACUCUGAAGCACAGCCCCUUUUGGUUGGUGCCUUUGAAGCCAGUGGUAGCCAUGCCUUGGAUGAAGCCCAGGUUGAUGAAUCAGACGUUCAAGGGGACAGUUUGAUAUCCCAUGAGAACUCAGUUUGUCCUGAAGGCAAUCCCCAAGAUUCUUCAUCUCCCACCCAAGCUGAGAAGGUUGAAGGGAAAGCACUCAAAACCACCAUUGCCAUAUUGCUGGACAGCUCCAAUACUGAAGCUGAACGAGAAACAGGGCCCAUUCAAGACCAGCAACCAAGAAUAGAAGGAGCAAGUGGUCAGGAUGUUGAAACUCAUAAGGAUGUUGAAACUGAUGGAAACAGUGAUGGAAGCAUGGAAGAAACAGAAAUUUCCCCUAAAGCCACCAAUACCCAGAUUAUCUCUAGCUUCUUCUCAAAUGAUAAAAAAGAGGAUUAUGCCAAACUGCCUCUGGGAUUCUUGUUCAAGGCUCAGGCAAUUCAAGCUUAUGCUUCGGAUGAUGAUAACCACCUUCAGUUUGGAAAAGGAGAGACCAUACUAGUGCUUUCAGAUGCCCAGGCCGAGGAAAAGGGAUUCCUGAUGGGUAUAAAGGAGAGUGACUGGAUGGCAAACCAGAAUAUGUUGCAAAAAGGCAUUUUCUCCCCCAGCACCAUCAAAUCUCCCACCUCGGCAUAA